AGAGUUUGAUCAUGGCUCAGAUUGAACGCUGGCGGCAGGCCUAACACAUGCAAGUCGAGCGGUAGCACAGAGAGCUUGCUCUCGGGUGACGAGCGGCGGACGGGUGAGUAAUGUCUGGGAAACUGCCUGAUGGAGGGGGAUAACUACUGGAAACGGUAGCUAAUACCGCAUAAUGUCGCAAGACCAAAGUGGGGGACCUUCGGGCCUCAUGCCAUCAGAUGUGCCCAGAUGGGAUUAGCUUGUAGGUGGGGUAACGGCUCACCUAGGCGACGAUCCCUAGCUGGUCUGAGAGGAUGACCAGCCACACUGGAACUGAGACACGGUCCAGACUCCUACGGGAGGCAGCAGUGGGGAAUAUUGCACAAUGGGCGCAAGCCUGAUGCAGCCAUGCCGCGUGUGUGAAGAAGGCCUUCGGGUUGUAAAGCACUUUCAGCGGGGAGGAAGGCGGUGAGGUUAAUAACCUCAUCGAUUGACGUUACCCGCAGAAGAAGCACCGGCUAACUCCGUGCCAGCAGCCGCGGUAAUACGGAGGGUGCAAGCGUUAAUCGGAAUUACUGGGCGUAAAGCGCACGCAGGCGGUCUGUCAAGUCGGAUGUGAAAUCCCCGGGCUCAACCUGGGAACUGCAUUCGAAACUGGCAGGCUAGAGUCUUGUAGAGGGGGGUAGAAUUCCAGGUGUAGCGGUGAAAUGCGUAGAGAUCUGGAGGAAUACCGGUGGCGAAGGCGGCCCCCUGGACAAAGACUGACGCUCAGGUGCGAAAGCGUGGGGAGCAAACAGGAUUAGAUMCCCUGGUAGUCCACGCCGUAAACGAUGUCGAUUUGGAGGUUGUGCCCUUGAGGCGUGGCUUCCGGAGCUAACGCGUUAAAUCGACCGCCUGGGGAGUACGGCCGCAAGGUUAAAACUCAAAUGAAUUGACGGGGGCCCGCACAAGCGGUGGAGCAUGUGGUUUAAUUCGAUGCAACGCGAAGAACCUUACCUGGUCUUGACAUCCACAGAACUUAGCAGAGAUGCUUUGGUGCCUUCGGGAACUGUGAGACAGGUGCUGCAUGGCUGUCGUCAGCUCGUGUUGUGAAAUGUUGGGUUAAGUCCCGCAACGAGCGCAACCCUUAUCCUUUGUUGCCAGCGGUCCGGCCGGGAACUCAAAGGAGACUGCCAGUGAUAAACUGGAGGAAGGUGGGGAUGACGUCAAGUCAUCAUGGCCCUUACGACCAGGGCUACACACGUGCUACAAUGGCAUAUACAAAGAGAAGCGACCUCGCGAGAGCAAGCGGACCUCAUAAAGUAUGUCGUAGUCCGGAUUGGAGUCUGCAACUCGACUCCAUGAAGUCGGAAUCGCUAGUAAUCGUAGAUCAGAAUGCUACGGUGAAUACGUUCCCGGGCCUUGUACACACCGCCCGUCACACCAUGGGAGUGGGUUGCAAAAGAAGUAGGUAGCUUAACCUUCGGGAGGGCGCUUACCACUUUGUGAUUCAUGACUGGGGUGAAGUCGUAACAAGGUAACCGUAGGGGAACCUGCGGUUG
RNAcentral lists this ribosomal RNA (1520 nucleotides) under Klebsiella pneumoniae. Its description in RNAcentral is "bacterial SSU rRNA". The record is from RNAcentral. Lineage: Bacteria; Pseudomonadati; Pseudomonadota; Gammaproteobacteria; Enterobacterales; Enterobacteriaceae.